GGCGUGUUCGUCUAGUGGUCUAGGACGCUGGCCUCUCACGCCGGUAACACGGGUUCGAACCCCGUACACGCUA
This 73-nucleotide transfer RNA is filed under the name Fibrobacter sp. Its description in RNAcentral is "tRNA-Glu". It matches the Rfam family "tRNA". Rfam says of the family: Transfer RNA (tRNA) molecules are approximately 80 nucleotides in length. Their secondary structure includes four short double-helical elements and three loops (D, anti-codon, and T loops). The record is from RNAcentral. Lineage: Bacteria; Pseudomonadati; Fibrobacterota; Fibrobacteria; Fibrobacterales; Fibrobacteraceae.